RNAcentral lists this ribosomal RNA (424 nucleotides) under uncultured Bacillus sp. RNAcentral's name for it is "bacterial SSU rRNA". It matches the Rfam family "Bacterial small subunit ribosomal RNA", at positions 115 to 525 of the family's 1533-position model. The record is from RNAcentral. Lineage: Bacteria; Bacillati; Bacillota; Bacilli; Caryophanales; Bacillaceae.
ACGUGAGUAACCUGCCCCAGACUCUGGAAUAACCCCGGGAAACCGGAGCUAAUACCGGAUAAUUUCUUUUCUCGCAUGAGGGAAGAUGGAAAGAUGGUUCUGCUAUCACUUACAGAUGGACCCGCGGCGCAUUAGCUAGUUGGUGAGGUAACGGCUCACCAAGGCGACGAUGCGUAGCCGACCUGAGAGGGUGAUCGGCCACACUGGGACUGAGACACGGCCCAGACUCCUACGGGAGGCAGCAGUAGGGAAUCUUCCGCAAUGGACGAAAGUCUGACGGAGCAACGCCGCGUGAGCGAAGAAGGUCUUCGGAUUGUAAAGUUCUGUUGUUAGGGACGAAACCGUACCGUUCGAAUAGGGCGGUACCUUGACGGUACCUAACGAGAAAGCCACGGCUAACUACGUGCCAGCAGCCGCGGUAAUA